Molecule: ribosomal RNA, 492 nt
Filed under: Rhynchospio aff. asiatica VVP-2014
Lineage: Eukaryota; Metazoa; Annelida; Polychaeta; Spionida; Spionidae
Description: partial 16S ribosomal RNA
Rfam family: Bacterial large subunit ribosomal RNA
Source: RNAcentral
CCCCUCCUUAAAGGUAACUUCUGCCCUAUGAAGUUUAAAUGACCGCGGUACCCUGACCGUGCUAAGGUAGCAUAAUAAUUUGCCUCUUAAUUAGAGGCUGGUAUGAACGAACCCACGAAGGUCUCCCUGUUUCACCUUUAGCCUUAAAAAUUAUCCUUAAAAUGAAGAGAUUUUAAUACAAUAAAAAGACAAAAAGACCCUAUUGAGCUUUAUUUUAACCUAGGCCCUAAAUUAGCCCACACCUAACCCUCCCCUACUUAAAAUUUUGUUGGGGCGACAUAAGAGGAUCUAAAUCCCCUUAUAAAAUAUAAGGAAACCCUCCUUACCCUCGAUCCGCAAGCGCGAUUAAAGAAUGAAGCUACCAUAGGGAUAACAGGCUAAUCUUCCUUAAGAGCCCAAAUUGACAGGAAGGUUUGGCACCUCGAUGUUGGCUUAAGGUACCUAAUAAAUGCAGAAGUUUAUUAAGUUGGUUUGUUCAACCUUUAAUACCUU